UCAACUUUUAUGACAUAUUUCAGUGCCAUAUGUAAUAUACACAUUAAAUGAAGUGGCAAAUUUAAUGUUUUAUAUACAUAUGAUCAUUACAUAAUACACACUUGGUAUAUAUGACAUUCAAAUGAAGUGCAUAUCUUUAAUAAGUAAAACAUCAAUAUGAAUCAUAUACAUGUAUUGUACUUACUAGUAUUAAAUAUACAACAUUCAAAUGAAGGGAAUGUAUUUAAUGUCGUGGUGGUGGUGGAAUUGGGUUUAACGUCGUGCUUGAGAA
Molecule: long non-coding RNA, 271 nt
Organism: Haliotis rubra (blacklip abalone)
Lineage: Eukaryota; Metazoa; Mollusca; Gastropoda; Lepetellida; Haliotidae
Exons: 3
Source: RefSeq, a predicted model, not a curated record